RNAcentral lists this ribosomal RNA (752 nucleotides) under uncultured bacterium. RNAcentral's name for it is "bacterial SSU rRNA". It matches the Rfam family "Bacterial small subunit ribosomal RNA", at positions 575 to 1324 of the family's 1533-position model. The record is from RNAcentral.
GUGGUUUGUCGCGUUGUUCGUGAAAUCUCACGGCUUAACUGUGAGCGUGCGGGCGAUACGGGCAGACUUGAGUACUGCAGGGGAGACUGGAAUUCCUGGUGUAGCGGUGGAAUGCGCAGAUAUCAGGAGGAACACCGGUGGCGAAGGCGGGUCUCUGGGCAGUAACUGACGCUGAGGAGCGAAAGCGUGGGGAGCGAACAGGAUUAGAUACCCUGGUAGUCCACGCCGUAAACGGUGGGUACUAGGUGUGGGUUUCCUUCCUUGGGAUCCGUGCCGUAGCCAACGCAUUAAGUACCCCGCCUGGGGAGUACGGCCGCAAGGCUAAAACUCAAAGAAAUUGACGGGGGCCCGCACAAGCGGCGGAGCAUGUGGAUUAAUUCGAUGCAACGCGAAGAACCUUACCUGGGUUUGACAUGCACAGGACGCCGGCAGAGAUGUCGGUUCCCUUGUGGCCUGUGUGCAGGUGGUGCAUGGCUGUCGUCAGCUCGUGUCGUGAGAUGUUGGGUUAAGUCCCGCAACGAGCGCAACCCUUGUCUCAUGUUGCCAGCGGGUAAUGCCCGGGGACUCGUGAGAGACUGCCGGGGUCAACUCGGAGGAAGGUGGGGAUGACGUCAAGUCAUCAUGCCCCUUAUGUCCAGGGCUUCACACAUGCUACAAUGGCCGGUACAAAGGGCUGCGAUGCCGCGAGGUUAAGCGAAUCCUUUUAAAGCCGGUCUCAGUUCGGAUCGGGGUCUGCAACUCGACCCCGUGAA